Molecule: transfer RNA, 74 nt
Filed under: Agrilutibacter niabensis
Lineage: Bacteria; Pseudomonadati; Pseudomonadota; Gammaproteobacteria; Lysobacterales; Lysobacteraceae
Description: Lysobacter niabensis tRNA-Gln
Rfam family: tRNA
About the family: Transfer RNA (tRNA) molecules are approximately 80 nucleotides in length. Their secondary structure includes four short double-helical elements and three loops (D, anti-codon, and T loops).
Source: RNAcentral
GGACGAUAGCUCAGAGGCAAGAGUAGCGGCACUUGAUGCCGACGGUCGCCGGUUCGAAUCCGGUUCGUCCACCA